AAAGCGGGAAUAUCCGGCCACCGUCGCGAACGCGCCGCGCGGCUUCGCGCAACGUGUGGAAGCUCCCGAGGAUGUUGACGUCGAACAUGUGGUUGACGUCUUCGUCGGACAU
Molecule: small RNA, 112 nt
Filed under: Sinorhizobium meliloti 2011
Lineage: Bacteria; Pseudomonadati; Pseudomonadota; Alphaproteobacteria; Hyphomicrobiales; Rhizobiaceae
Description: putative ncRNA
Source: RNAcentral